RNAcentral lists this ribosomal RNA (253 nucleotides) under uncultured bacterium. RNAcentral's name for it is "partial 16S ribosomal RNA". It matches the Rfam family "Bacterial small subunit ribosomal RNA", at positions 524 to 776 of the family's 1533-position model. The record is from RNAcentral.
UACAGAGGGUGCAAGCGUUAAUCGGAAUUACUGGGCGUAAAGCGUGCGCAGGCGGUAAGUUAAGUCUGAUGUGAAAGCCCCGGGCUCAACCUGGGAAUGGCAUUGGAAACUGGCUUGCUGGAGUGUGGCAGAGGGGGGUGGAAUUCCGCGUGUAGCAGUGAAAUGCGUAGAGAUGCGGAGGAACACCGAUGGCGAAGGCAGCCCCCUGGGCCAACACUGACGCUCAGGCACGAAAGCGUGGGGAGCAAACAGG